GGAGCGGUGAAGGAGGAUUCUGGCUGAGACAUCUGUCACCCCAUUGAUUGCCAGGGUUGAUUCAGCUGAUCUGGCUGGCUAGGUGGGUGUCCCCUUCCUCCCUCACCACUCCAUGUGCAUCCCUCCCGAAGCUGCGCACUUGGUGGAAGAGGACGACCAUCCCAGAUAGAAGGAGUGUACUGAUCUUUGGUCAAGGGUAUACCGUAGCUGCCCUCACCUGCUAGAACCUCCAAACAAGCUCAAUCUCAAGCACCCCUUCCUCCUACUAUUUUUUUUUAUUUUUUUUAUUUUUA
This 293-nucleotide small nuclear RNA is filed under the name Ophiophagus hannah (king cobra). RNAcentral's name for it is "7SK RNA". It matches the Rfam family "7SK RNA", at positions 1 to 251 of the family's 331-position model. From Rfam's summary of the family: 7SK was discovered as an abundant small nuclear RNA in the mid-70s but a possible function has only recently been suggested. Two independent studies have found that 7SK RNA binds the CDK9/cyclin T complex (known as elongation factor P-TEFb). The record is from Rfam by way of RNAcentral. Lineage: Eukaryota; Metazoa; Chordata; Lepidosauria; Squamata; Elapidae.